GGGCCCGCACAAGCGGUGGAGCAUGUGGUUUAAUUCGAUGAUACGCGAGGAACCUUACCAGGGCUUAAAUGUAAGUUGCAUAAGCUAGAGAUAGCUUUUUUCUUCGGACUACUUACAAGGUGCUGCAUGGUUGUCGUCAGCUCGUGCCGUGAGGUGUCAGGUUAAGUCCUAUAACGAGCGCAACCCCUGUUGUUAGUUGCCAGCGGGUAAUGCCGGGAACUCUAGCGAAACUGCCGGUGCAAACCGAGAGGAAGGUGGGGAUGACGUCAAAUCAUCACGGCCCUUACGUCCUGGGCCACACACGUGCUACAAUGGCCGGUACAGAGAGCAGCCACUACGCGAGUAGGAGCGAAUCUAUAAAACCGGUCUCAGUUCGGAUCGCAGUCUGCAACUCGACUGCGUGAAGCUGGAAUC
RNAcentral lists this ribosomal RNA (414 nucleotides) under uncultured bacterium. RNAcentral's name for it is "bacterial SSU rRNA". It matches the Rfam family "Bacterial small subunit ribosomal RNA", at positions 917 to 1333 of the family's 1533-position model. The record is from RNAcentral.